AUACGUAGGGGGCGAGCGUUGUCCGGAAUGAUUGGGCGUAAAGGGCGCGUAGGCGGCUUUGCAAGUCAGUAGUGGAAGUCCAUUUUUCAAGGAUGGAAGUGCUACAGAAACUGCGGAGCUUGAGUGCAGGAGAGGUUAUCGGAAUUCCCGGUGUAGCGGUGAAAUGCGUAGAGAUCGGGAGGAACACCAGUGGCGAAGGCGGGUAACUGGACUGCAACUGACGCUGAGGCGUGAAAGUGUGGGGAGCAAACAGGAUUAGAUACCCUGGUAGUCCACACGGUAAACGAUGAAUGCUAGGUGUAGGAGGUAUCGACCCCUUCUGUGCCGCAGUAAACACAGUAAGCAUUCCGCCUGGGGAGUACGGUCGCAAGAUUAAAACUCAAAGGAAUUGACGGGG
Molecule: ribosomal RNA, 397 nt
Filed under: uncultured bacterium
Lineage: Bacteria
Description: partial 16S ribosomal RNA
Rfam family: Bacterial small subunit ribosomal RNA
Source: RNAcentral